RNAcentral lists this microRNA (22 nucleotides) under Canis lupus familiaris (dog). Lineage: Eukaryota; Metazoa; Chordata; Mammalia; Carnivora; Canidae. The record is from RNAcentral.
UUAAUAUCGGACAACCAUUGUU